UACGAAGGGGGCUAGCGUUGCUCGGAAUUACUGGGCGUAAAGGGCGCGUAGGCGGCCGAUCAAGUCGGGGGUGAAAGCCUGUGGCUCAACCACAGAAUUGCCUUCGAUACUGUUUGGCUUGAGACCGGAAGAGGUUAGUGGAACUGCGAGUGUAGAGGUGAAAUUCGUAGAUAUUCGCAAGAACACCAGUGGCGAAGGCGGCUGACUGGUCCGGUUCUGACGCUGAGGCGCGAAAGCGUGGGGAGCAAACAGG
Molecule: ribosomal RNA, 253 nt
Filed under: uncultured bacterium
Lineage: Bacteria
Description: partial 16S ribosomal RNA
Rfam family: Bacterial small subunit ribosomal RNA
Source: RNAcentral